Molecule: long non-coding RNA, 1966 nt
Organism: Acinonyx jubatus (cheetah)
Lineage: Eukaryota; Metazoa; Chordata; Mammalia; Carnivora; Felidae
Exons: 9
Source: RefSeq, a predicted model, not a curated record
CCGCGGUCUGAAAGCGGAAGACCCUCCCUCUGACGAAUCCUCAGAAGGUGAAUAGUAACCUAAUUUUACGCAGCAGAGGCCUACGUCACUCGCCUCACUUCCUCUCCUCGGUCGUGGGCGUUUUGUCGUUCGCAUCCUCACAAGGACCAUUUUAUUGCUCAGAUACAUAAUUUCUAUUGGAACAUAAGGAAGUGGACAAGCAGAGUGAAAACUUGAAACUUGAAAGAUAUUUGGCAACCGCUCCCCUAUUCUCAACCAAUAGACUUACAAAUGGAAGCUUUGCAGCAAACGGGAUCUGGCAGGGAAUGAAGAUUAAGAAAAGGGUUAAAUUUAUUUGAAUCCGAGCCCAAGUCCUUCUGGCUCCAAAAUUCAAGGCCUUUCACCAAAGAAACCCAAAAACCUGGCUGACUUGAACUGAAUGAAUCGUACCACCAGAUGGCCACAAGAAACUAAGGCAAGCACUGCUCACAUGUGAGGAAAAAAAGAGGACAAAAAGCUGGUUACCCCUGUGAGUGGCCACAACCUACUCAUCCUCACUACCUGAAUUUCUGAAUAAUACUCAUCUGGGAAUCCAGGGAUGAUGACCCUCUCAAGGUAAGCUCCAUGACCAGUGUGGGGCUCGAACUCACAAUCCCGAGAUCAAGAGUCACGUUCUCUACCAACCGAGCCAGCCAGGACAAAUUAUGCCCUGUUAAAAGUAUCAAGAUUUGUUUCUAAGGAGGAAGGGAAAAAAAAUGGAUGUUGGAGGAAGCAGGUGACAGUCUCUGCGACACUGGCCCUGCCUUUGAUUAUUACCUUGCAACACAGAAAAAGCAGCGAUAAAACACUUUAAUUGAUGACACCUCCAUGGUAUUUGUUACACCUGCUAUAAAAUAAUUAGUUAUUCAACUAUAAUAACUGCUUAUUAAAGUGAAACACAAUAAAUACUAGAAAAUCUGUAAGACAAUUUAGCUACUUAGGAAAGCUAUGGUCUGUUAAGCUACCAAGAGCAAAGAUCUGUCUCUGUUUGUGAUCUGCAGUGUAGUCCCGUGUCAGUUUUUAAUACCCUGUGUUGUGAUACCCUCAGUUCAGUUAUUAGCAAACAGGUGUCCUCAUUAUACCAAAAGUGUAAAUGGCCAUAAACAACUCCCUUGACAGCAGAGAAGCCAAAGACUCCAUUCUCAUGGAGAAUCAACUCUGUCGUGGAGAUGAUCACUCAGCCCCAGCCUGAGUGGGAAAGGUCUGCUUUCCUGUACGUAAUGCCUGCCUGGGGAACAGAUCUCACUUUGGAGACUUCCGUAAGCAUUAAGAUAAAUUCUGUGUACAAUGAAUAAUUCUAAGGCUCCCACCAGCGGCAUCCGCUGGCUGCCGCUGCUGAUGGUGCUUAGCCGGCUGCGGGCAAGAAGUGCGUGCAGGCAGAAGAAGGUGCUGCUGGCCUUCCCUACCAGUAGCUGAGGUAUAAGUGGAGGGAAAACCAUACAUUUUAAUAAACAAGGUAGCCAGCAGACAUUUUGUCUCUGUGUUUCCAAGGAAAUUGGCUUCUGAAAGGGGGAAGGAAAGACUACUUUUGAACUUUUGGGGGGCCCAUCUAGAAGGAGAUUACAUAAUCACAAGAGAAAGCACAAAAGAGGGUCAAGAAAAUUGUUUUCCCUCUGCCUCCGUCUUCUGAAGUCAUGUCACCUGCCCAGCUCACCUACUCUCUGGAUCCCAUACUUUCUGGUUUCUUUCAUGUUCACAAUUUUAUUUUUUUUUUAAUUUUUUUAAUGUUUAUUUAUUUUUGACAGAGAGAGAGAGAGAGACAGAGAGAGAGACAGAACAUGAGUGGGGGAGGGGCAGAGAGAGAAGGAGACACAGAAUCUGAAACAGGCUCCAGGCUCUGAGCUGUCAGCACAGAGCCCGACGCAGGGCUCGAACUCACAGACAGCGAGAGCAUAACCAGAGCCGAAGUUGGACGCUCAACCAACUGAGCCACCCAGGUGCCCCUGUU